Molecule: transfer RNA, 72 nt
Organism: Salpingoeca sp.
Lineage: Eukaryota; Choanoflagellata; Craspedida; Salpingoecidae
Rfam family: tRNA
About the family: Transfer RNA (tRNA) molecules are approximately 80 nucleotides in length. Their secondary structure includes four short double-helical elements and three loops (D, anti-codon, and T loops).
Source: Rfam
GGCCUCGUGGUCUAGGGGUAUGAUUCUCGCUUUGGGUGCGAGAGGUCCCGGGUUCAAAUCCCGGCGAGGCCC